AGAAAGACUGUGAUGAGGACGAGUACACAUCGCCCCGGCGGUACAGAGAGCAGUGAAUGGUGAGAGACUGCCCGUACAGUGAUGUGGAAUGGACCUCGGAGUUGCAGGGCAAACGCGAAAGCCAGUAGCCCGCGCCGGAGCUGCCACCGUUAUCCAGGCAAAGGGUAUCGCGACCUUCGGGUCUGCCGUACCCCAAAGAGUGAGGCUGGCCUUUUUCCCCUUGUGGUGCAUCACCGCAGGGGAUUUUUGUUAACAAGGCGCACAACAGCCUAAUGUGGGUGGCACCACGGACCUGAUCCAGCGUUCGUCCCAACA
This 315-nucleotide non-coding RNA is filed under the name Levilinea saccharolytica. Its description in RNAcentral is "T-box sequence". It matches the Rfam family "T-box leader". Rfam says of the family: Uncharged tRNA acts as the effector for transcription antitermination of genes in the T-box leader family. T-boxes are found upstream of many aminoacyl-tRNA synthetase genes and some amino acid biosynthetic genes usually in Gram-positive bacteria. Lineage: Bacteria; Bacillati; Chloroflexota; Anaerolineae; Anaerolineales; Anaerolineaceae. The record is from RNAcentral.